GACGAACGCUGGCGGCGUGCUUAACACAUGCAAGUCGAACGGAAAGGCCCUGCUUGCCGGGUACUCGAGUGGCGAACGGGUGAGUAACACGUGGGUGAUCUGCCCUGCACUUCGGGAUAAGCCUGGGAAACUGGGUCUAAUACCGGAUAGGAGCCAUUUUUAGUGUGAUGGUUGGAAAGUUUUUUCGGCGUAGGAUGAGCUCGCGGCCUAUCAGCUUGUUGGUGGGGUAAUGGCCUACCAAGGCGGCGACGGGUAGCCGGCCUGAGAGGGUGGACGGCCACAUUGGGACUGAGAUACGGCCCAGACUCCUACGGGAGGCAGCAGUGGGGAAUAUUGCACAAUGGGCGCAAGCCUGAUGCAGCGACGCCGCGUGGGGGAUGACGGCCUUCGGGUUGUAAACUCCUUUCGCUAGGGACGAAGCUUUUUGUGACGGUACCUAGAUAAGAAGCACCGGCUAACUACGUG
RNAcentral lists this ribosomal RNA (465 nucleotides) under uncultured bacterium. RNAcentral describes it as "partial 16S ribosomal RNA". It matches the Rfam family "Bacterial small subunit ribosomal RNA", at positions 28 to 507 of the family's 1533-position model. The record is from RNAcentral.